RNAcentral lists this ribosomal RNA (401 nucleotides) under uncultured bacterium. RNAcentral describes it as "bacterial SSU rRNA". It matches the Rfam family "Bacterial small subunit ribosomal RNA", at positions 355 to 774 of the family's 1533-position model. The record is from RNAcentral.
UUAGGAAUCUUCCACAAUGGGCGAAAGCCUGAUGGAGCGACACCGCGUGAGGGAUGAAGGCUCUCGGGUUGUAAACCUCUAAAAGGGGGACGAACGAUGACGGUACCCCUUGAAAAGCACCGGCUAACUCCGUGCCAGCAGCCGCGGUAAUACGGAGGGUGCGAGCGUUAUCCGGAAUCACUGGGCGUAAAGGGCGCGUAGGCGGUCUAGUAAGUCCGAUGUUAAAGAGCGGGGCUCAACCCCGUCACGGCGUUGGAUACUGCUGGGCUUGACGGCUGGAGAGGUGAGUGGAAUUACCAGUGUAGCGGUGGAAUGCGUAGAUACUGGUAGGAACACCCAUUGCGAAGGCAGCUCACUGGACAGCACGUGACGCUGAGGCGCGAAAGCGUGGGGAGCAAACC